This 479-nucleotide ribosomal RNA is filed under the name uncultured bacterium. RNAcentral's name for it is "bacterial SSU rRNA". It matches the Rfam family "Bacterial small subunit ribosomal RNA", at positions 25 to 518 of the family's 1533-position model. The record is from RNAcentral.
CAGGACGAACGCUGGCGGCGUGCUUAACACAUGCAAGUCGAACGGAAAGGCCCAGCUUGCUGGGUGCUCGAGUGGCGAACGGGUGAGUAACACGUGGGUGAUCUGCCCCUGACUUCGGGAUAAGCUUGGGAAACUGGGUCUAAUACCGGAUAGGACAAUCGUUUAGUGUCGGUUGUGGAAAGUUUUUUCGGUUAGGGAUGAGCCCGCGGCCUAUCAGCUUGUUGGUGGGGUAAUGGCCUACCAAGGCGUCGACGGGUAGCCGGCCUGAGAGGGUGGACGGCCACAUUGGGACUGAGAUACGGCCCAGACUCCUACGGGAGGCAGCAGUGGGGAAUAUUGCACAAUGGGCGCAAGCCUGAAUGCAGCGACGCCGCGUGGGGGAUGACGGCCUUCGGGUUGUAAACCUCUUUCGACAGGGACGAAGCUUUUGUGACGGUACCUGUAUAAGAAGCACCGGCUAACUACGUGCCAGCCGCCGC